UUAAUUGAAACCAAAAAGAGGUAUAUCACUGUUAAUGAUAAUAUUGAAUAACA
This 53-nucleotide transfer RNA is filed under the name Attacus atlas. RNAcentral describes it as "tRNA-Asn". The record is from RNAcentral. Lineage: Eukaryota; Metazoa; Arthropoda; Insecta; Lepidoptera; Saturniidae.